Molecule: ribosomal RNA, 487 nt
Filed under: uncultured Bacteroidota bacterium
Lineage: Bacteria; Pseudomonadati; Bacteroidota
Description: bacterial SSU rRNA
Rfam family: Bacterial small subunit ribosomal RNA
Source: RNAcentral
UCAGAAACUUAAAGGAAGUUGACGGGGCCCGCACAAGCGGAGGAGCAUGUGGUUUAAUUCGAUGAUACGCGAGGAACCUUACCUGGGCUUAAAUGCUUAAUGACGUACUGGGAAACUGGUAUUUCUUCGGACAUUUUGCAAGGUGCUGCAUGGUUGUCGUCAGCUCGUGUCGUGAGGUGUCGGGUUAAGUCCCAUAACGAGCGCAACCCCUAUUGUUAGUUGCCAUCAGGUCAUGCUGGGGACUCUAACAAAACUGCCCGCGUAAGCGUGGAGGAAGGUGGGGAUGACGUCAAAUCAGCACGGCCCUUACGUCCAGGGCUACACACGUGCUACAAUGGCCGGUACAGAGGGCAGCCACUUGGUGACAAGGAGCAAAUCUCAAAAGCCGGUCUCAGUUCGGAUCGGAGUCUGUAACUCGACUCCGUGAAGUUGGAUUCGCUAGUAAUCGUAGAUCAGCAAUGCUACGGUGAAUACGUUCCCGGGCCUU